GUCUCCAUCGUCUAGAGGCCUAGGACAUCACCCUUUCACGGUGAGUACCGGGGUUCGAAUCCCCGUGGAGACG
This 73-nucleotide transfer RNA is filed under the name Paucimonas lemoignei. It matches the Rfam family "tRNA". Rfam says of the family: Transfer RNA (tRNA) molecules are approximately 80 nucleotides in length. Their secondary structure includes four short double-helical elements and three loops (D, anti-codon, and T loops). RNAcentral also lists the same sequence under 6 other names. The record is from Rfam by way of RNAcentral. Lineage: Bacteria; Pseudomonadati; Pseudomonadota; Betaproteobacteria; Burkholderiales; Burkholderiaceae.